GGGCUUAUAGUUUAAUUGGUUCAAACGCACCGCUCAUAAAGGUGAUAUUGUCGGAUCGAGUCCUACUAAGCGUA
RNAcentral lists this transfer RNA (74 nucleotides) under Marchantia polymorpha subsp. ruderalis. It matches the Rfam family "tRNA". Rfam says of the family: Transfer RNA (tRNA) molecules are approximately 80 nucleotides in length. Their secondary structure includes four short double-helical elements and three loops (D, anti-codon, and T loops). Further hydrogen bonds mediate the characteristic L-shaped molecular structure. tRNAs have two regions of fundamental functional importance: the anti-codon, which is responsible for specific mRNA codon recognition, and the 3' end, to which the tRNAs corresponding amino acid is attached (by aminoacyl-tRNA synthetases). tRNAs cope with the degeneracy of the genetic code in two manners: having more than one tRNA (with a specific anti-codon) for a particular amino acid; and 'wobble' base-pairing, i.e. permitting non-standard base-pairing at the 3rd anti-codon position. Lineage: Eukaryota; Viridiplantae; Streptophyta; Marchantiopsida; Marchantiales; Marchantiaceae. The record is from Rfam by way of RNAcentral.